UAUUUAAAUUUGUACAAAUUACACUGUGAGCAUAAUCAGGAUAGUCUACCUUAGCCUGGGAUAGCAUCUCCAAAAUUGCAGUAGAUUAGCACAACAGACAUGUGCUUCUUGCUCAUCCCAGGACACCUGGGAACUCUGUUCUACAUCUUCUCACACCAGGCAGAUGAUGUUUCUAUCAUCUGAAAAGUUACUGGUUGCCCUGGCAGUAGAAUGGAACAGCAAAUUGCACUCUUCUUUGAAAGGCUCCAUCUUGAAAUGACACCUGUCACUUCUUCUCACAUUUCAUUAACCAAAGAAAGUCAUAAGGACAUAAAUGUGUUUCAUGCCAUGAGGACAGGGAAAUGCAAUUUUACCAUGUGACCAAAAGAAGAGAUACUAGUGGCCAAUCACAUUUAGACUAACCAUUGGGAAGGUUGAGCAAUCAAUAUUUUCUGUUUUCUUUGUUGUUAAUAACCCUCUCAUCAUGAUUAUGUGGAAACCCACGUUGAUUAACGUGGUCAAAACUAUUGAAUAGUUUAUCCUUUAUAAUUGUGUGUCAGACAUACAAAAAAAUAGUCUCCCACUUGCAAGGAUCCUUUUCCCUGAAAUGUUUUUUCCACAAAAGAACAGCCACCAGAAAAUUUUUGGACUUGUAAAAACUUAAUUAUCACAAUAAAGAUCCUAGUGUCACAGUGUAUAAGUCUCAGUAUACUCGUUAAAUCUGUGCUAUGGAUACCAUCUUCUUCAUUUCUUUUAUAUGCUUUUUUUGUUUCUGAAUUGAAAGUCAGGGCUCCUGUUUUAUCCAGAAAUCUCUGGGUCAACGUUGCCAUUAUGGCUCCAGUUGUUAUUGCUGUGCUGUUGCCAAGGCAGCCAAAAUACAGACCUGGGUUCAAAGUAGUUGCUGGGUGUGUAAGAGAGUAGUCACUCCACUUUCAUGAAUACAGCUGCUCUGAAUGUGACAAAUACCAUUAUCAUCAUGGGUCUUAUUACCUCCAGCCACAAGGUGCUAUCUGAACAAAUGCUGGGUUUUAACUGCCAGACUCUUGAAUAUGUCACAUUUUUCUUUGGAUCUUUGGGUUAUUGUAACAGCUGUUUGUAAACAUUGUAAAGCCUACAUUAGGUACAGAAUGGGUAAGAAUAUUUUGACCCAAAUGUCUGCCCUCUGAACUAUUGUAAGGAAUGCAGCAUGUCUGCUGACACUUAAAGCAGUAGAUUUAAAUAGCAACCGGGAUCAACUUCCAGCUGAAUAAGUCAAUAGGCAUUUUCAGUUUCGGACUCCAUCUGGGUCAGUUUUCUUUCAUCAGCUGGCCUGAGAACAUCCGAGGGUAUUCAGACCAUACUGAAAAAAAGAAAAGGAGGGGAAUAGCAAGAUAAUCGGAUAUAUCGCAGCCAUGAUCCUCAAAAAUUAAAAAAGUUUUCCAACCAUCUUGCUUAAAUACAGGAAACUGCGAUUUGUCUUCCAGAAUUUUUUCAUCACUGAGCCUCAGCUCCUCUCUGAUAUGAACUCCUUAUGUGAUCUCCAUCAAAUGCGUAAGCAUCAAGACAGCUUCAGGACAUCUAAGAUAAGAAUUAUAAACACAGAUUCUGAUACUUUGGAAAGCCUAAGGAAAACUGACCUAAACGAAAAAGGGAGGAUAUUACGUAGAUCCUGCUCUUGAAGGAGCCGCCCACAGCUUAGAAGACAGAUGAGAAGAUCAUCAUCACAGAUUUGCUGUGAACAGCUCUGCUCAGCUCUGUCCCUGCCAGACUUGGGGCCACACAUACCCUUCUAAGAGGGCUAAAGAAGAUUCACAAAGAGCACUGCUUCUUGCUCCAGCUUUGGCAAGAACAGAGGAUGAUUUUGUCUUUCGUAAUCCCAUGAGUGAGUAAUAUAAUUACCCAAAUUUCAUGGAAGAAGAAACCGAGGCCAAAAUUUGCCCAUGGUUCCAAAAAAAUGAAUUAUCAUUCAUCUUUUUCAAGAGGAGAAUAUUAUAAAUUUACUAUGCUACUUAUAAAUGCCUUUCUGCCAGAUUAAUAGAAAACCUUUAGAAGCUGGACUUGUGACUUAUUCUGGGAUAUGGUCUUCCACAAACAAUUGGAGUCAUCAGUGCUCAGUGGAACAUCCUUUCAGUUGCAUGAAGAUGCCAAACUAGAGGAAAGAGGACACACCAUGUGAUUUCCCAAGGGCCAUCAUUUCCCAGGGGAUGGUUGUGACUGAGGGGACACAAAAACAAACAGUCUAAAACCAACAGAUAUUCCUGUCUAAAGUAUCUUUUUAUAGCACAGCAUAGCUGUAUUCAAUAUAAAACAAGGAGAGUGAUAACUGAAUGUGAAUUACAAAGCAGAAUUUUAAUCAUGAUACAUGAGUUAAUAAUACACAUGAGUUAAACUCAUGAUACAUGAAUUAAAGAAAAUAACUGGAACCCCUUUUCAUAUUUUAUUGUCAAAAGUUUUACCAAAUAGGUGGUUUAUUUGGAAAAGUAGCACCUCUUUGAAGUUAACUCUUGAUUUGUAAAAGUUCAGAUUGUUCCUAUCUACUUGGUCAACUAAAAGUGAUUAUUUUUAUUGCUAUAAGCCAUGCAUGUUGGUCUUUGAGAAAUAUGCCAUUAAUCAUGGUUAAAUUGUAUAGGCUCAAAAAUCUCUAAGACCUGCAAGAAAAAAAAACAAAAUCCAAAAAUGUAAAAUUAUUUAUUAGUCUAUAAAAAGUUGUGUGGACUUUCUACAAAACCAGCAAUUGGAAAAUGACAAAAUUGUUAUUUUAUCCCUAGAGAAUCUUUACACAUUUACCUCAAAGGGAGGAAUAGAGUCAAUUACUUCUAUUUCAAAUAGAUAACUCCCUUUGACAAGUAUGCAAAUCAUACUGGAACUAUACAUCUGAGCUUUUUAAGUGUGACAACUCUGAGAUACUACUUGGUAAAGAAGAUUGUGCUAUUACCUCUCCAGUCUGUUCUCAAAGGGAAUAACACUCAUGUUUCCGAGGCAGAGAGCACUAAGAGGUGAGGUUCUGUCCACUCCUGCUGUGGACUGAAUUGUGUUCCUCCCUCCAACCACCAAUUUAUAUGUUGAAGCCCUAAUCACCAAUGUGAGUAUAUCUGGAGAUGGAGCCUUUAAGAAGGUGAUUAAAGUUAAAAGAGGUCAUAAGGGUCGAGCCCUAAUCCAGUAGAACUCUUGCUCUUUUAAGAAGAGGAAGAGACAUCAGAGCUGUUUCUCUGCUAUUUAAGGACAGUUUGAGAAGGCAGUCAUCUGCAAACCAGGAAAACAGCCGUCACCAGAGUCCAACCAUGCUGGCAACCUGAUCUUGGACAUCCAGCCUCCAGAACUGUGAGAAAUACAUUUCUGCUGUGUAAGUCACCCAGUCUAUAGUAUUUUGAUAUGGCAGCCCAAGCUAACAUAACCCCUUAAGUAACCUAGCCAAAAAUUAUUAUUUUUUCAGCAAAUAAGGAGAAAAAAAAAAGUUUUAUAAGAUUUUAAUUUUUGUAGGGUUGCCUGGGUGGCUCAGACAGUUGAGCAUCCAAAUCUUGAUCUCAGCUCAGGUCUUGAUCUCAGGGCCCUGAGUUCAAGCUCUGAGUUGAGCUGCAUGCUGGACAUGGAAUCUACUAUUUUAAAAAAACGAUUGUAAUUUUUAUAAGAAAAAAUGUGAAUAAAACCAUCUUUGAAAAUUGA
Molecule: long non-coding RNA, 3621 nt
Organism: Felis catus (domestic cat)
Lineage: Eukaryota; Metazoa; Chordata; Mammalia; Carnivora; Felidae
Exons: 9
Source: RefSeq, a predicted model, not a curated record